UGCAGACUAGGGGGCAGCAAUGUCACCGUCGCGCGGGUGCGUAACGCGUAUGCAACCUACCUAUCACAGGGGGAUAGCCUUUGGAAACAGGGAUUAAUACCGCAUAAAGCAGGGGCUCCGCAUGGAGAUAUUGCUAAAGAUUUAUCGGUGAUAGAUGGGCAUGCGUCUGAUUAGUUAGAUGGUGGGGUAACGGCCUACCAUGACGAUGAUCAGUAGGGGGCGUCAGAGCGUGGUCCCCCACACUGGCACUGAGAUACGGGCCAGACUCCUACGGGAGGCAGCAGUAGGGAAUAUUGGGCAAUGGAUGCAAGUCUGACCCAGCCAUGCCGCGUGGAGGAAGAAGGUCCUCUGGAUUGUAAACUCCUUUUUUGGGGGAAGAAGAGACACCUUGCGAGGUGUUGUGACGGUACCCUAAGAAUAAGCCACGGCUAACUACGUGCCAGCAGCCGCGGUAAUACGUAGGUGGCAAGCGUUGUCCGGAUUUAUUGGGUUUAAAGGGUGCGUAGGUGGUUUAAUAAGUCAGUGGUGAAAGCUGGUUGCUCAACAAUCAAGUUGCCAUUGAUAUUGUUAGACUUGAGAGAAGUGGAGGCUGGUGGAAUGGAUGGUGUAGCGGUGAAAUGCAUAGAUAUCAUCCAGAACGUCAAUUGCGAAGGCAGCUGGCUGUACUUUUUCUGACACUGAGGCACGAAAGUGUGGGGAU
Molecule: ribosomal RNA, 700 nt
Filed under: uncultured bacterium
Lineage: Bacteria
Description: bacterial SSU rRNA
Rfam family: Bacterial small subunit ribosomal RNA
Source: RNAcentral